GCGCCAGUGGUUUAGUGGUAAAAUCCAUCGUUGCCAUCACGACUCGUGAAAACUCGAUGGGCCCCGCGUUCGAUUCGCGGCUGGCGCA
This 88-nucleotide transfer RNA is filed under the name Coniochaeta sp. 2T2.1. RNAcentral's name for it is "tRNA-Gly". The record is from RNAcentral. Lineage: Eukaryota; Fungi; Ascomycota; Sordariomycetes; Coniochaetales; Coniochaetaceae.